GGGGGUGCCCGCAGCCUCUCGCCCCUAUUCACUUCAAUCCGCGGUUGAUGCCCUCAGAGCGCCUCCAUCGCCUCACCGCUGCCAAGGGGCAGUACCAAGGAGCGGCGGAGCCCGCACAGGCGCUGGAGUGCGGCCCAGCUAACGACUCGUGCUGUUAAUUACGGGAAGUUUCGGCCGUGCAGUGAGGAAGGAUGCCAGGACAAGCAGCUGCAAGAUGCCCUCCGGCCUCGCAGCGCUGUGGCAACCAUGUCACCCCUCUCGGCAAAGCCCACUCUCGUGCCCUGAGCUAUUUUCUUGCCUAUUGUACACAGUCCUCUUUGUGUGCCUCAGAAGUUUCUUCCAUCACUGUGUUCCAGGUUUUGCACUGGCAGCUCAAUGCUCAAGCUGUAGGCAUUGAAACAUGUGGCUUGAAGGCAAGGAAAUCUCUUCUUGGGUCUAGAAAAAUCUGAGUGCAUUUGGAAAGUUCUGGAAAUGACUGGAUCUGGAAGGAGUCAAUCUGGAAAAGCCUGAGUGCACCAAUUACCUCAGUGACUAAGACCAAGGUAAAGCAAGACCCUCGAGACCUAUGCUAGUAUCACCAUCAUUGAGCUGUUUUCCUCAGAAUACUUUCUUUCUGCCCCACAACAUCGAAGUUUUCUUCCAGAUGGCUUCUUCUAUGUUACGUUACGCAUUCAGUAGCAUGAGGAGCAUGCUGUAUGUUAACUUUCCACAAAACUUGCACUAAGUAUGUCUUCCUGUAAGUCUAUCUCACAGUAGAAAUAAAUGGCCUAGUGGCAAAGACUUAAACAUUCAAAUUAAACGUCUGCAAUUAAUUCAAGCUUUUUCCUGAGCAGACUUUGCUUAAAUAGUUCUUAAAACUCUUUACUCUGAUUUCUCUCCUUGAAUGAAGCCUCAAGGAAAGACGUGAAGCAGUAUUCCCUUCCUUAGGUUAAGGGUUUGACUUUUUUUCUCCUUGGCUUUGGUUUCUUUGUGUGUUUGUUUGUUUUGUUUUUAAUAAUUCUAUCUUGCUGGUGUGAGGUAGCACAUAAGUCUAGUGAAUCUUAGCCAAAGUCUUGUGCUCACACAGUAGGCCUAACUCUGAGGAUUUCUCUAAUAAAAUCCAGUAUGACUCAGUCCGAAUGAAUCAUUCACAAUCUCUCUUUCUCUAUUUGCAGAAUAUUCACAGCAGAUCAUGAUUUCCUCAAAUAUAUUGCUGUUCUUCAGGUUAUUUUAUAAAUUUGUCUGACGAUUGUCAAUGUGUCUUCUUUGCUAUUGUUUUUUAACAUAUCCUACAUAUUUGUAAUUUAAACUGGGCCUUUUAUCUGUGAUUGCUGAGUAGGUCACCAAGCACGAUAUUGUUUCCUGUCCCUUAGAACAUAAGAUUUUUAAAUACUUUCACGUGUGUGUUUAAAAUUCAUUGUCUAUCAGUUUUUCUGCCGGUGCAAAUCCAAACUGAUCAUUUAAAUAGUUCAAGGAAAAGCGAGCAUAAAGCAGCACACAUAAGUAUGGAUUCAUUUAAAAACCCAUACCAAUGGCAGUGUAUUUUCAUGGCUUUCCCAUCUCAGACUAUGACACUGUCCCCCACUGAGUGCAUUGCAUCUACGUGGAAUUCACAAAGCUGGGGAGCUAUGGCUGUGAUUCUAACUUAUGGCUGAUGAUAGCAUUUACACAUACAUUACUGUUAAAAUUGAACAUUUGAAAAUGCUUUACCAAGGCUAUGGUUUAGAAAUGCAUCUGAAAUAACUGAAGAGAUAGAACCAUCGAUCCUGAUUACAAACAGAGGGUUAAUUCUUCUGUUGAUGUAAAUCAGCAUAGCUGAUAGAUUUGUGCUGAUUUACGUUGGUAAAGCCCAGAAAAUAGAGGAGAUAUAUGACAAACAAAGGGUGCUAUAUUUAUUUCAUAAGUGAGAAAUACUUCAUAACUCAGGCACACCACUGGCAUGAAUAAGUUAUGAAAAAUCUUCACAGCCAAAAGAACAUAAUCAUCCUUCAUGUAUAACAGAUUUGUUUAUUCUGUAAAGAUUCAUUUCAGUUGAUUAAUUAUCAGUAUCUGCUGAUGGUGGAGGUAACAAGCCAUCUCUGAUGAGAGAAUCAUUUUAGGACAUGCUCAGAAUAUUUUAUCACCUCACACAACUUGUAUAUGCCUAGAAUAUUUAUCAUACUGUGUACUAAUACUAUCCCAUUUUUUAAAGCUAAGUACUGAAUGUAAAUUAUAUUAUAGAUACAGGAGCUGCCUAUGUUUUUCCUGGUGGUUAUUUUUUUUUCUCCAUAAGGGGAAUUUAAAAGAAAUAGAUUAAAACACGGUAACAGCAUGUCAACUGCUGAACUGCACUGCUUCAUUAAAUCAUUGUUAUUCUGAACCAGUAAAAACAUUUGCAUAAGUGCAAAUGCCACCUUCUAACAAUACUAUCAGAAUCGUUUAAUCUUACACCAAAUCCAAAUCUGUACCAGCCACAGUGCGUGCUCGGUGGCCAAUAUUCACAGAUGGAGGUUUGUCAAAAUUAGCUUCCUUUUCUUGUAACUUUAAUAAUUAAAGUUGUAACACCAAGUUAAAAUAAAAAUUAGAGAUUAGAUUUUCUCCAUUCUGAAACAUUUAUAAAGAGAAGAAAAUGAUAAUAAAUCUGUCAAUCACUGCAAAGCAGAGAGCAAAAGUAGAUCAGAUUUUCAACGCAAUGUAUUAAUUUGCUAUUUAUAAAGUUACCCUAAUCACCACAAUAUCUAUAAUUUAAAGCAUUGAUAUAUUAUCCAUAAAAAUAUAGGUUAAACAUCUAUUAAUAAAUUGCUUCACCAAAAUUUUUAUCAUAUUUGAAUAGCCACGCUACUUUUAAUCAGACUUUAAUCACAGAAUAGACUGAUUCAUUUUACAGAACGUGUCCAUCUAUGAAAUAUACAUAUAUUGAUAUCUGCACACACUGCACAUUUCAUGCAAGAGAACAGCUGGGUUUUAGUUGACCAAGAAUCCACAGAAAGCAGUAGAACAUCUGCAAAGUUUUGUACAAAGCACCAAGUUUCUCUUAGCUAUAACAAACUGAAAAUAUAAACAUUUGGUCGUCUUAAAAUUGAAUAUAUUCUUUCACUUUCCAGCCAAAAGACGUUUAAAAAAAAUUAUUUUCCACGGAUAUGCAACACUUAUUAAUUAUUAGUACACGUUUCCAGAGUACCCAUGAGCCUCACCUCAAGAAAGGUGUUCUAGCUCAAAGUUCAUUAAAGCCAGCUAUAGCUUUUCCACAAGUUUCAGUGCUUUACACAGAGUCACCUACCUAGGUAUUUACAGCUGUCCAUUAUCAGUGUAUCCCAGCUUUUGGUAUUUGUUUUGUUAAAAUGGGCUGGAUAAAGAAUGUUCAAAAGGUUCUUAAUUACUUAGAGAACUGGAAACAUAGAUAGCAAGUAUGUUUACCUAGGGAUGAUGAUAACUUCUAAUUAUUUUGGGCACUUGUUUUUAAUUUGAUUACCAAAGAAAAGCAGUUUAUUUGAUCACGUUUCUUUUGUAUAUAUCUGGUCAGAAGUCAGCUUUUAGCCAGUUUCAACCAGAGAGAAAAGCAGCAGUCUCAGAGGUAUUAAAUUCCUCCAGAUUUUGUAAAAAGCAGCAGUCUGAUAAAGAAUAAAAAUGCCUUAUUUCUUCCACUGAAGAAUAGACUACAUUGUAAGUUCAUCGCUUAAUAGACUCGAAAGAAUCCAUAUCCAAGAAGAGACUACAAAAGUAUAACCACAGGGGAAUACGUCAGUUCAGAUACCGAUCUCUUUAAACUCCAGAAGAAUCCACAGGAAAUCAGUCGGUCUUGGUUGCUCUGCUUUCCUGACGGAUUGUUUCUUUUUUUAGCGUUGUUUGUUGUUGUUUUCAGUGUGGUUAGAAUAGGCCUUGGAGAGGUGGGAAGAAACCAUCUGGGUCUAUGAUUUCAUGCCUCAGAAGCAGGCAUGGCAUUUCAGGAUGAAUUGUAUGGUAAGUGGCAACUCAGUAAAAAUGUGUCAUGCAGCUUUUGUGCUCAGUGUCUCAGAGCUUUCCCAGAUGGAUAUUCGAGAUAUUUGAGACUUUCCGCUGAGAUCUUGAAAGUUGUACUGCAACAGAAGUUGUUUGUGUUUAGCCCACUACUUCUGCUGGUAACAAAAUUCAAACAAUAAAUAGAGAAAAUUCAUUUAUAUGAUUACUGAAAUCAACAGAAGUUCCAUUUGAGAAUAUGAUUUUCCCCGUAUUAGACUUUAUGGAUGGAUAGCUCUCUUCUCCUUCUCCACUACUUCUACUAUAGCAGGGCUAAUCAGUAACAGGGAGAGAGAGAAAAACCUGCAAAAGUAAAGAAACCAUUCACCUCUGGUGUAGUGAAGAAAACAACUUUCUUGUAUACUGCUUUGCUUGUUCAUAUUAACACAGAGUGACUCAAAGUGUGCAUCACUGAGCCGUUCAUGGCUUGGUGACAGAAUCCGUUAAUUUAGCCUUCUGUAGGACUACUGGUGAUGUAGUCAUAACAUGCGCUCAAGUGCUGUGUACCUGCUUCUUGACAUACUGCCCUGUCAGCAUAGAACAUGUAAAGUCACCAUGAGCCUCAUUACUGGAUUUAGCCAGUUAAUGCAAAAAGGUGGAGUAUACUGAUUGAGGGAAUACGUGCAACUUUUUUUAUACUGGGAUUUGAAAGCAAUACUUUUCUUAAAUUCCCAGCCACAAUUCAGAUGGUAGGAUAAUAACCAGCACCGAAGAGCUACAGGGUAGUUGUUCUUCCAUAAGUGCGUGGUGUUUUCUUUGGUCAUGGAUCCACUCAUCUCCAUUUGCAACUUUGAGACUGCACUUGGUGAGGUUCCCAUAGAAGCUGAACCUGAAGAACAUUUGGUGUCUACUUAGUAGUACGGCUUGUGGCAGGAAUUAUAUAUUUACAAGACUCCUGAGGAAGCUUGCUAGCACGGCUAUAUUGUUCAGAAAUUCAUAUGAAAUAGCACUUUGCUGAUGGAUCUCUUACAGUGAAUGAGUCACAUCUGCCAGACUUCCUUGGCUUUGGAAGCUGCAAAAUGACAAUUGUAUGCAACGCUUAUCUUCCAUCCCGUCAGGCUUGGGUUGGUUCCUGGGUAUAUAGUGGAGAUUCUGGUCUCGGUUUAUUUGCCCUUAAAAGCUAGGCAAAGCAACAGCUUUCUCUCUGUUCUUUUGUUGUACUUGAUAUCAAGUAGGAGUUAUAUCCUGCCAAAAGUUAGGCAUGGGCAGAAAUAGCCUUCAGUUCCAGAGUGAAAGGCCUAAGUCUGCUGACCUGCAGCACUUGCUGCACAGCACGUUGUUCUGGGGUUUUGAACAAGAACCAAGAGGAGGAGUUCAGAUUGCUUUUUUGUGGGAUUGCAUCUCACUUUAAGUUAAACUGCAUAAGGCAUUAGAGGGGAAUUUUAAAAGUUUAACUAAUUAGAUCUUUUGAGAGACUUAUUAGUCCAAGUCAGAGAAUUCUCUGAAGCAGAAAGAAUAUAUUCCAUGAGUGAUUAUGUAGAAACAAACUGUGCCUGAGCAUUUAACAUACCACUCUGUAUUUCAGGGAGAAAUUUUAGGUACUUAGAUCAAGUAUCACAACAGAUGCUCUUUCAGUUUCCCUUCAGGCAGAUCAUCUGCAGUCUACUUACCUCAGAGCCACUGACUUCAAAUGCUCAUGUAAAUCAUUAACUUGAACCAUUUAUUCUGACUACAGCUACAUGGUCUAAAGUUGAUGUUUGGAGUCUGUUAAUCAUUACUUGUCAUCUGCUUGCUAUGUAUCAGAAGGUGAUGCCAGACUCUCUUGCUAGUUUUGCAGAGCUCAGCACCUCUGCCUCUUUACGUAACUAACUUGCAUUCAGCUUCUCUUAAACUCCCUGAAAUGCUUCAUCACAUCUAUUUUCUAACCUUUCUAUUGCUACCCAAAGAGACAUCCUAAAUUCCCUCAGUCAGAUCCAUGAAAAGAUGGUGAAGCAGUUGGGAAUUUAUUCCCAAAACUGUAUGGGGAGCACCAUAGAAGCUUCCCUGUACAGCUCUGCAGGCAUUCCAGGCAAUGUCGUCGCUCAUGUCCUCACCUGACCCAUUCCUGUGAGAGCUGAGGAGCUUAGUUCAUAGCUCAGCCAAGGUUUUAAGGCCAGAAACUGACAUUCCUUUGCCCCAGAGGACUUGAUCUAUGAGGGACUAAGGACUGACCAGAUUCUCAGUUUGCAGCAGGGUGCGUAACAGCCAAUGAAAUGUUCAGAAAUACUCAAAGAAGGAAGUCGUGCUGCUCCCAGCUGCUUGGUGCCUCCUGACUGUCAUUAUGUCUGUCACAUUUUGUUGUACAGCAAAUGAUUUGAGGUCCUUGGACACAUUAAAAUGUUACAGUUCUUGAAGAGUCCUUGUGCUUGUAUCUUCAGAUGUUUGGGUUUUUUUGCCCCAGUAAUACACAGGUCCAUACUGGCCUUUCACCUACUACCCUCUGAUACUGUGUUGUUUCAGUCUCUUAUCAUCCAGUCUUCCUUCUUUUCAUCUCUUGACCUUUCCCAAACUGUUCUCUGUCCUCUGCUACUCAUAAAACUGCUUCUCUUAUUGAUUGCCUUUUUGUCUUUGGUCUGUAUUUCAUUCCCUCUGCCACUAAAAUCAUCCCUUGCUCUGUCUUAUUUCUAAUCCUAGUAUUUGCAGCUUCAUCCCUCUUCAGUUGUUCUGGUUUACUUCUUAGCAUAGUAACUGAAGUCUUUUGAGAAGUCCCUUUACAUUUUUUCAAUGACUCCUACUCCUUGGUCCUGUGCUCUUAGCUCAAACUGUGUUACUAUUUCCUAACACAGACUUGUUUCUCCUGUGCUCAGAUGGAGCCAUUUUGUCCUCUUUUGUGCACUGGAAGCAGAAGAUUUUAGUCUGGAUUUUAAGUGCUGUGUUAGCCAACAGUAGCAAAGAGUUUCCAUUCCAUGGAAAUGCAGACAGCCUACAGCCCUCAGCUGCUGGCUUCGUUUAGUGCUAAUAUUUGAAGAAUUCAGGUACCAACCCUGAGCAAACCAUUACUAAGAAUUUACAGAUUUCAAAUUUUCCUAAGUUUUCAUCUUGUCUAUGUUAUUUUAGUGGUAAAAAAAAAAAAAAAAGCACAUUCCUAA
Numida meleagris (helmeted guineafowl) is the source of this 7022-nucleotide long non-coding RNA. RefSeq lists it as uncharacterized. The record is from RefSeq and is a predicted model, not a curated record. The transcript is spliced from 3 exons. NCBI's taxonomy places the organism in Eukaryota, Metazoa, Chordata, Aves, Galliformes, Numididae.